AGUCACUGACAUUAGAUACCCGUGUAGUCCAGGGUGUAAACGCUGCCGACUUGGUGUUGGAGGCCCUUCGGGGGCAUUCAGUGCCGGAGAGAAGUUGUUAAGUCGGCCACUUGGGAGUACGUCCGCAAGGAUGAAACUUAAAGGAAUUGGCGGGGGAGCACCGCAACGGGAGGAGCGUGCGGUUUAAUUGGAUUCAACACCGGAAAACUCACCAAGGGCGACUGUUACAUGAAAGCCAGGCUAAUGACCUUGCUUGAUUUUCAG
RNAcentral lists this ribosomal RNA (264 nucleotides) under uncultured archaeon. RNAcentral describes it as "partial 16S ribosomal RNA". It matches the Rfam family "Archaeal small subunit ribosomal RNA", at positions 717 to 982 of the family's 1478-position model. The record is from RNAcentral.